This 465-nucleotide ribosomal RNA is filed under the name uncultured bacterium. RNAcentral describes it as "partial 16S ribosomal RNA". It matches the Rfam family "Bacterial small subunit ribosomal RNA", at positions 28 to 507 of the family's 1533-position model. The record is from RNAcentral.
GACGAACGCUGGCGGCGUGCUUAACACAUGCAAGUCGAACGGAAAGGCCCUGCUUGCUGGGUACUCGAGUGGCGAACGGGUGAGUAACACGUGGGUGAUCUGCCCUUCACUUCGGGAUAAGCCUGUGAAACUGGGUCUAAUACCGGUUCGUAGCCAUUUUUAGUGUGAUGGUUGUUAAGUUUUUUCGGUGUAGGUUGAGCUCGCGUCCUAUCAGCUUGUUGGUGGGGUAAUGGCCUACCAAGGCGGCGACGGGUAGCCGGCCUGAGAGGGUGGACGGCCACAGUGGGACUGAGAGACGGCCCAGACUCCUACGGGAGGCAGCAGUGGGGAAUAUUGCACAAUGGGCGCAAGCCUGAUGCAGCGACGCCGCGUGGGGGAUGACGGCCUUCGGGUUGUAAACUCCUUUCGAGAGGGACGAAGCUUUUUGUGACGGUACCUAGAUAAGAAGCACCGGCUAACUACGUG